AGCGAACGCUGGCGGCAGGCUUAACACAUGCAAGUCGAGCGGGCGUAGCAAUACGUCAGCGGCAGACGGGUGAGUAACGCGUGGGAACGUACCUUUUGGUUCGGAACAACACAGGGGAAACUUGUGCUAAUACCGGAUAAGCCCUUACGGGGAAAGAUUUAUCGCCGAAAGAUCGGCCCGCGUCUGAUUAGCUUGUUGGUGAGGUAACGGCUCACCAAGGCGACGAUCAGUAGCUGGUCUGAGAGGAUGAUCAGCCACAUUGGGACUGAGACACGGCUCAAAACUCCUACGGGAGGCAGCAGUGGGGAAUAUUGGACAAUGGGGGAAACCCUAGAUCCAGCCAUGCCGCGUGAGUGAUGAAGGCCCUAGGGUUGUAAAGCUCUUUUG
This 387-nucleotide ribosomal RNA is filed under the name uncultured bacterium. RNAcentral's name for it is "bacterial SSU rRNA". It matches the Rfam family "Bacterial small subunit ribosomal RNA", at positions 29 to 438 of the family's 1533-position model. The record is from RNAcentral.